ACGGGCCGGCCGGGCGCGGGAUGGCGGCACCGUGAGGGGAGCGAGGCGGCGGCGAUGGCGGCGGCGCUGCUGCUGCUGUGCUCCGCCCUGCUGUGCGCGGCGCUGGGCUGCGCGGGCGCGGCGCUGAUCCCCCCCGCGGCCGACGUGAAGGUGGAGGUGCUGCACAAGCCUUUCCUCUGCCACAGGAGGACCAAGUGGGGGGACAUGAUGCUGGUGCACUACGAAGGCUACUUGGAGAGGGACGGCUCCAUGUUUCACUCGACUUAACCUGCCUCUUUAAAAGGACUUCUAGUGACACACUAUAAAGUUUUUGCUGCUGACUAACUUCUUCACAAGCAUAACAAUGGUCAACCGAUGUGGUUUACACUUGGCAUACGGGAAGCUCUCAAAGGCUGGGACAGAGGGUUGAAGGACAUGUGUGUGGGAGAGAAACGGAAGCUGACUAUUCCGCCAGCCCUUGCUUAUGGAAAAGAAGGGAAAGGAAAAAUUCCACCUGAGAGCACAUUGAUUUUCAACAUUGACCUUCUAGAAAUUAGAAAUGGACCAAGAUCUCAUGAGUCAUUCCAAGAGAUGGAUCUUAAUGAUGACUGGAAACUAUCCAAGCAAGAGGUGAAAAUUUACUUGAAGAAAGAAUUUGAAAAGCAUGGAGCAGUGGUAAAUGACACCCAGCAUGAUGCUUUGGUUGAAGACAUAUUUGAUAAAGAGGAUGAAGACAGUGAUGGGUUUAUAUCUGCAAGGGAAUUCACAUACAAGCACGAUGAGCUGUAGAAAGAAAAGGGUGGCAUAAUUUUUUUUGACACAAAUAGCGGUGACUUAGAUUGUCUGGUUCUCGUGUCAUCUUAGUUCUGUGUUUCAGAAUUGACAAUUGCUGUUGGCAAAGAAACACUUUGUUUAUAUAAAAGAGAAUUUCUGUUAUUAUGUACAAAUGUUUUAAACUAUUUUAAAAUGUGAAAAUGUACCUCCUCUUAUACAGCAAAGACUUGCACAUCAGUGUUUUCAAAAUUUUGUAUUAAAUUAUUUUUCAGAAGUGAAACAAACUUUCCAUUUAUCAUUCAUUAUGAAAAUCAAAAUGCAGUUCAGUGACUUUCUGUGAUUUGUGUGCCAAUAUCAUUUUGAGCAGCUACCUUAUGUAUUAUUUGUAUUCUGUGGCUGAAUUACUUGACCUUCCUUCUUGAGUGUCACUGCUUAAAAAGCAGUUUACUGACCUUGGGUUUUUUUCCUGCAGUUUUUUAAAAGAUGUAGUAGAACGCAUCAGUUUAUAUGGCUGAGAAACUGACACAAAGCUGAAUGAGAAGAAUGAUUAUCAUGUGCUGAUUUUGCCUUUCUAAAGGGAGAGCGUUACCACCCGUGCCAAUAAUUGUCUGCAUUUUUCCUUAAAUUUUGUGAACAAAGCAGGAGUUGAAUGUCAGACUUUCACUUCUACUGCCAGCAGUUCUAGGAAACAUCUGUAAUUUGGAAAGCAGCAAGUUGUGCUGCAGUGUAGAGGUGGUGUCUUUUAAAUGUACACACACAUUUGUUUUGAAACUCAGACUUGGCAUUCACCAAAAAAGCUCAUACCUUUCUCUCACAGUUUGAGGGGGGAUCUUAAGCAGAAUCUUACAAGUCUGAAGUUUUUCCUUUUUGCAGAAGAGAACGAGUGUACUGAGGGAGGAUCAGUAUGGUCUGAAGACCAGUUUCCAUGGGCUUAUCAGCUUUGCAGCUGUGUGAGUUGCAGAACUUGUUUCCUUGCCCCCCGCUUUGCAGCAUUUUUUCACUAGUAGCACACAAGUGAUAUGAAUUUUAAAUGAAAAAGUGAAUUUUUAGAAAAAAAGAGGUUUGAGGUAAGUGUUAUAGUGCUGUGUCUAAACAGAGGUGGAGAGCAUUAGGAUUUCAAGCACAAAAUUGGAGUUCAAAAAACUUUUUGGAGAAGAAGGAAUAUUUUGCAAUUGCCAAUGUUUUCUUAAAUGAGAGGGGAGGGUGUCUCGGGUACAGAAUUUAUCCUGACAUCACUAACCUAUGGGUCUAUGAAAACAGCAUUGUACUUGAAAAUGGUUGCCCAAAGCUAUGUAAGGAUGCAAAGCAAUGAAAGUGAGAUUGCUGCAUUGCACUAACCCUUAACUAUCAUGAGCUGCUUUCAAGGCUCUCAGUGCUGUAGGUGUGUUAGAUGUUUCCCUGCCAUCUAGUGUUGCAACUGAGGAUUAGGGGACUCCUUCGAACUGAGCUCAGCUGCAGAGGAGCAUGUAGAGAGGCCUGUCAAUAGUGACAACCAGGGUAAAAGAAAAGUUGUAAGUGAGGGUAUGCAGUGCUGGGCUGUUCUGUUUUGGUUUUCUUCCUGCAUCUGACAUUUUGUGGGUGAUGUUCUAAGUGACAGGAAAUUGCAACCAUGUAUUUUGUUUUUAGUAACCUUAGGUCUUCUUCCUCAGCGAUUGCCAUCUGCUUUUCUUCAACCUAAUAAAACUUUCACUUCUAUGGCUAUGAGUGUCAGUAAAAUAGUGUAGGAAAGUGUUUCCCUUCUGUUUUAGGCUCAUUUCCUGCCCUUAUUUUUUUUACUGUGAAGAAAUCAUGAAUAGUCAUUACCUAUUUAGCUGUUCUUACUAGUCAUGGUUUUGCAUAUUGAUUUUUUUUUACUCAUCACUUACAAAAAAUCAAGCUUGCCUGACUUUAGUUUGCCCAAGGCUGGUAGCAUGUUCUGUGCUGGUCGUUUUGAUUUCCCCUACAGUCACUGGAGCACUGGGCAGCUGGGGGCAGUUCACUGCACAUGUGUUUGUCUUGUAUUGAGAUAGCUGCCUUACUAAAUAGAGUCUUCCUCUGUUGACUUUGUGGGGAACCUAGACCAAGGGUCUAGCCUAGGCCAAGGGAGGAUAACAGGAUAUGAAGUUGAUCUUUAAGCUAGUUUUGCCCAGAUGUGGGGACUGGCAGGUACCCAACCAACCGAAGGGGAAAUACUCUGUGUGUGUGAGUGUCCUGCUGGGAAGAGCAGAACUGAGACUUUCAAUUGGGUCUGAGAGGGUUUUAGAUCAUUGUUUACAGUGUUUCGCAUGUUCUCAAAACAUCUAGCUCUGGAAUGAAAGCAUAAAAGCAUGGAAUAGAAUUUACCCAUGUUACUGACCUAAUACAUUAAAAAUUAAGAUUAAAUAAUGGGGUGCCAAUAUGUGACUCCAGUAAGGGCCAGUGGUUUCUUUUGUAUUAAAUAGGAGUUUAUAGUCAGUGAAUGCUGUGAAAUGUACAUAGGCAUAAUCUUCUGCGUGGAUUUCUAAAGCAUUUCAUUAAAAUAUCUUUCAGUGAGCAUAUAUUUGUUAAUGCCAGCAGAAUGUUAAAGCUGCAAGACCAAGAUGCCUUAUUUGGUGUUGUGUAUAGGUUUGUGCCAAAUGAGAGUAUGGUUUUUCUUAGUAAUUUUCUUGAGAGCUAUGUUAAAUUCUGAAAUUGAACUGAAAAUGUUUUUUUUUAAGUGCAGAAUCAGCAGCAGAUUUGAGAAGUCACUUCAACUUGAUUAUCAUUUGCCACCGUAAAAAGUCCUCCUGUGAAGAUGAAAGGCUUUCUUAGGUAGAAAUAGCACUGCCUGGUUUAACCUCGAUUGCAUUUGCUUGUUAAUCCACAGGGCAAACUGCUGCUGUGCCAGCAGGAGCCAGCCAAUAACACCAGAGCUAGGCAGCUGCCUGUCCCCCAAAGUGGGGAGGAAUACUGGAACUUCAGUGGCAGUAACAUUUUGGCUGGCUUGUGCAUGAAGUGUGAGGUGUAUUUCCCCUGAAGAAACAAACCCUCACUCUGCAUAUCUCUAAAACAUGGCACUUGAAAAAGUGGAAAGGGCUCAAAACAGAGCACUUUCCUUCUGCAUCCUAUAGCCUUCUUCAAAUAUUUCUUGUUGGUUUGUGGUUAUUUGGGAAAAUAUAUGGUGAUGUUUUUUAGAACUGCAGUCUGUCAUUCACAGUCAGUACCUAACAAUUACAGUGGGAGUUGCUGCCUUCUGUAGGUACAGAAGCAGGCUUCAGAGCACAUUUUAUUUGGAAAUUUUUGAUAUGCAAUGCAAUGAUACAAGAAAGCUUUUGGCAAAGCUUCAGGAAUGCUACUUUAGUCUGAAAUGUUUUUUAAAUUUUUCUUUUUUUUUUUUGAGAUAAACUGACAAGGCAAACAGAAUGAAUCACUUUAUUUUGUCUUAAAUCUUUUCAGUAACUUAUGUCAUAGAAUUAUAGAAUCAUUUAUUUUGAAAAAGACCCUAAGAUCAUCCAAUCCAACCGUUAACCCAGUACUGCCAAGUCCACCACUCAAUCAUGUCUGAGUGCCACAUCUACAUGUCUUUUGAAUACCUGCAGGUGUUUCAAUGGUUCCUCUACCACAUUCCUGGGUGACCUCUCCCAAUGCUUGACAACCCUUUACAUGAAGAAAUUUUUCCUAACAUCCAAACUAAACCUCCCCUGGUACAACUUGAGGAUGUUUUGUUUUGUCCUGUGCCUUGUUCCUUGGGAGAAAAGUUCUACCCUCACCUCGCUCAUAACGUCUUGUCAGGCAGCUAUAGAGAGUGAAAAGGUUUUCCCCCCUCAGCCUCCUUUUCUCUGGGCUAAACACUCCCAACUCCCUCAGCCACUCCUGGUCAGACUUGUGGUCCAGAUCCUUGAGCAGCUUCAUUCCCUUUUCUGGAUGCACUGCAGCACUUCAAUGUCUUCUAGUGAGAGGCCCAAAACUGAGCACAGGGUUUGAGAUGCAACUCACCAGGGCUGAGUACAGGAGGACAAUCAUUGCCCUGGUCCUGCUGGCCACACUGCUGCUGAUCCAAGCCAGGCUGCAGUUGGCCUGUUUGGCUACCUGGACUCACUCCUGGCUCAUGUUCAGCUGCUGUAGACCACACCCCAGGUCCUUUCUCAGUGCUUUCCAGCACUCUGCCCCAGCCUGUAGCACUGCCUGGGGAUGAUGUGACCCAGCCCUUGGGGGUUGAACAGUUCAGUUGGACUCAGCCCAUUCAUCUAGGCUGUCCAGAUCCCUCUGUAGGGCACGUCCUUGUGCUGCCAGGAACAUCCCAAGCACAGAGUGUGUUUUGGUGAGUACAAUAUGUUAGAGAGUCAUAAAAUUGCAGCGUUAAGUACAUAUUGAAGAAAUUGUUGCCAUAAUUUCUUCUUCAUGAUAUCUUGAAUGAAAGUGAUACAUACUUGAUUUCAUACAGGUGAGUACCAGCAGGAUUGAGAAAGUUCACUGCUUUAGGGCAUCUGGGAAAAGACACAAGCUAGGGAAAAUGUCAGAGAGAAUGGAAUUUUGUAGAGUGAAGUGAGAAAUACAAAAAGAUUUCCUUCCCUAGAUCCUUUGGUAUCUGGUUACUUGGAAGAAAGAGCACUGGCAGCCACUGGUGUAGGGACUCCAAGUAAUGAGGCUAGUUCCUGUUUUGAUUUUGAUUAGAAACUACUGCUUUGGGUAGUUCCUGUAUGGAGUUUAAGGCAAAAUUUAAAUUCACACUUCCAAGGUUUGUUAAAGAGUUUUCAGAAUAGGUAUAUUGAGUUUAUGUCUUGAAAAUACAUUGGCAUCAUCAUAGAGUUUUUGCAAAAACCCCUAAAACACAGCCCAAAACAGACUACCCCAAACCUCUUAAUUUGUCUUCAAUGCUGAAUUGUUUUUGGUAACAGGAAAUAAAUCAAAACUGCUUAUAUUUGUAUAAUCCUGGAUAAUUUUAGCUCCUCUUGAAAGUUAAUCGUAAUGCUUACAUUCUGUGUCCUAGUUUUCUCCGGGUUCAUAGGAAAAACAACUCUGACAAAAUAAAGAUCUUUCUUUAGCUGUA
This is a non-coding RNA of Lonchura striata (white-rumped munia), 5740 nucleotides long. The record is from RefSeq and is a predicted model, not a curated record. NCBI's taxonomy places the organism in Eukaryota, Metazoa, Chordata, Aves, Passeriformes, Estrildidae.